This 492-nucleotide ribosomal RNA is filed under the name uncultured bacterium. RNAcentral describes it as "partial 16S ribosomal RNA". It matches the Rfam family "Bacterial small subunit ribosomal RNA", at positions 29 to 507 of the family's 1533-position model. The record is from RNAcentral.
AGUGAACGCUGGCGGUAGGCCUAACACAUGCAAGUCGAACGGCAACACAGUAAGAGCUUGCUCUUACGGGUGGCGAGUGGCGGACGGGUGAGGAAUACAUCGGAAUCUACUUUUUCGUGGGGGAUAACGUAGGGAAACUUACGCUAAUACCGCAUACGACCUACGGGUGAAAGCAGGGGAUCUUCUGACCUUGCGCGAUUGAAUGAGCCGAUGUCGGAGUAGCUAGUUGGCGGGGUAAAGGCCCACCAAGGCGACGAUCCGAAGCUGGUCUGAGAGGAUGAUCAGCCACAUUGGAUCUGAGACAGGGUCCAGACUCCUACGGGAGGACGCAGUGGGGAAUAUUGGACAAUGGGCGCAAGCCUGAUCCAGCCAUACCGCGUGGGUGAAGAAGGACUUCGGGUUGUAAAGCCCUUUUGUUGGGAAAGAAAAGCAGCUGUUUAAUACCCCGCUGUUCUGACGGUACCCAAAGAAUAAGCACCGGCUAACUUCGUG